GUACUGAAAAGGAAAUAUUUUAAGAUAGAAAAAAAGAUUUUAAAAAGAUUACCUUUUGUAUCAGGGUUUAUUAAUAAAAAUUUUAUAUUAAAUAUUUCUCGAAUAAAAUUGAUUUUAAAAAAAUAGAGUAUUUUUAUAGAAAAAAAAAUAUAAAAUUUUUUUAGGAAAUGAAAUUUUUAUAGUAAUUUUUAUUUCUAGUUAAAAGAAUAAUAUUUUAUAUAAUUCUUUUAGUUUUUAUUUUUUAUAUAAUAAAGUAAAAGAAUAUAUUUUUUGGGUUAAUCUAAAAAAUUUUUAAUAGAGUUUAAAUAAAUAAAAUAAGAAGAUUUAGAAUUUAUUGAUUUUUGUAAUAAAGAAUAUAGGUUGAUAAAAGAAUUUUUAGUAGGAAAAUAAUAAAAUAAAAUAGAAAUUUUAAAAAAUGAUGAUAAAAUUAGUAUAACAAUAAUUUUUUUUUAUAAGAAUUAGGCAAAAUUUUUAUUAUUAACUGUUUAACAAAAACAUUUUUUUUUGUUUUUAAAAAAAAUAAUUUCUGCUCAAUGUUUGAAAAAUAAAUUGCUGUAGAAUUUUAACUAUACGAAGGUAUUGAAAUAAGGUCUUAAAUGGGUGCUAAGAGAAUGGAGUAAUAAUUAUAGGCUUUUUUUAGAAAAAUAUAUAGAAUUUUUUGAAAAAAUAAAAAAAUUUUUAUUUUAAAAUGGGACAAGAAGACCCUAAGAAUCUUUAAUUAUUUAUAUUGGUUGAAAUUUAUAAAUAAUUUUAAUUGGGGCGAUUGAAAAAUAAAAAGUAACUUUAUUUUGAAAGUUAAUUUAAAGUAAAAGGUAAAGAUACUCUAGGGAUAACAGCGUUAUUAUUUUGGAAAGUUCAUAUUGAUAAAAUAGUUUGCGACCUCGAUGUUGAAUUAAUGAACCUUUAAGGUGAAGAAGCUUUAAAAGGUGGAUUGUUCCUCCAUUAAAUCAUUACAUGAUUUGAGUUCAGACCGGCGUAAGCCAGGUUGGUUUCUAUCUAUUGAUAAAUUUAUUAUUUUUUAGUACGAAAGGAAUAGAAAUAAAUUAUAAUAGUUUCUAAAAAUAGUGCAU
This 1070-nucleotide ribosomal RNA is filed under the name Tropilaelaps mercedesae. RNAcentral describes it as "16S ribosomal RNA". The stretch from base 688 to 1001 matches the Rfam family "Archaeal large subunit ribosomal RNA", at positions 2151 to 2715 of the family's 2987-position model. Lineage: Eukaryota; Metazoa; Arthropoda; Arachnida; Mesostigmata; Laelapidae. The record is from RNAcentral.